Molecule: ribosomal RNA, 465 nt
Filed under: uncultured bacterium
Lineage: Bacteria
Description: partial 16S ribosomal RNA
Rfam family: Bacterial small subunit ribosomal RNA
Source: RNAcentral
GACGAACGCUGGCGGCGUGCUUAACACAUGCAAGUCGUACGGUAAGGCCCUUGCGGGGGUACACGAGUGGCGAACGGGGGAGUAACACGUGAGUAACCUGCCCACAACUUUGGGAUAACGCUAGGAAACUGGUGCGAAUACUGGAUAUGUGCUCCUGCUGCAUGGUGGGGGUGGGAAAGCUCCGACGGUUGUGGGUGGACUCGCGGCCUAUCAGCUUGUUGGUGGGGUAGUGGUCUACCAAGGCGGCGACGGGUAGCCGGACUGGGAGGGUGAGCGGCCACAUUGGGACUGAGAUACGGCCCAGACUCCUACGGGAGGCAGCGGUGGGGAAUAUUGAACAAUGGGCGCAAGCCUGAUGCAGAAGCGCCGCGGGCGGGAUGACGGCCUUCGGGUUGUAAACCGCUUUCAGCAGGGACGAAGCUUUUUGUGACGGUACCUGCAGAAGAAGCACCGGCUAACUACGUG